CUACGGGUGGCAGCAGUGGGGAAUAUUGCACAAUGGAGGAAACUCUGAUGCAGCAACGCCGCGUGGAGGAUGACACUUUUCGGAGCGUAAACUCCUUUUAUAUAGGAAGAAGAUGACGGUACUAUAUGAAUAAGCGCCGGCUAACUCCGUGCCAGCAGCCGCGGUAAUACGGAGGGCGCAAGCGUUACUCGGAAUCACUGGGCGUAAAGAGCGUGUAGGCGGAUUAAAAAGUCAGAAGUGAAAUCCUAUAGCUUAACUAUAGAACUGCUUCUGAAACUCUUAAUCUAGAAUAUGGGAGAGGGAGAUGGAAUUUCUGGUGUAGGGGUAAAAUCCGUAGAGAUCAGAAGGAAUACCGAUUGCGAAGGCGAUCUACUGGAACAUUAUUGACGCUGAGACGCGAAAGCGUGGGGAGCAAACAGGAUUAGAUACCCCCGUAGUC
Molecule: ribosomal RNA, 439 nt
Filed under: uncultured bacterium
Lineage: Bacteria
Description: partial 16S ribosomal RNA
Rfam family: Bacterial small subunit ribosomal RNA
Source: RNAcentral